This 498-nucleotide ribosomal RNA is filed under the name uncultured Sphingobacteriales bacterium. RNAcentral describes it as "bacterial SSU rRNA". It matches the Rfam family "Bacterial small subunit ribosomal RNA", at positions 885 to 1382 of the family's 1533-position model. Lineage: Bacteria; Pseudomonadati; Bacteroidota; Sphingobacteriia; Sphingobacteriales. The record is from RNAcentral.
GCCAGCCCGCUCAGAAACUCAAAGGAAUUGACGGGGCCCGGCGACAAGCGGUGGGGCGAUGUGGUUUAAUUCGAUGAUACGCGAGGAACCUUACCUGGGCUCAAAUGUAUGUUGACGUAUUCUGAAAGGGAUACUUCUUCGGACAAUAUACAAGGUGCUGCAUGGUUGUCGUCAGCUCGUGCCGUGAGGUGUCGGGUUAAGUCCCAUAACGAGCGCAACCCUAUCAUUAGUUGCCAUCAGGUCAAGCUGGGGACUCUAAUGAAACUGCCUACGCAAGUAGUGAGGAAGGUGGGGAUGACGUCAAAUCAGCACGGCCCUUACGUCCAGGGCUACACACGUGCUACAAUGGCCGGUACAAGGGGCAGCUACCUGGUGACAGGAUGCAAAUCUCCAAAGUCGGUCUCAGUUCGGAUCGGAGUCUGCAACCCGACUCCGUGAAGUUGGAUUCGCUAGUAAUCGCGCAUCAGCCAUGGCGCGGUGAAUACGUUCCCGGGCCUU